CGGUUGUGGUGUCACACACCUGAAAUUCCAGCACCCUGAGAAGCUGAGGCAGGAGGGUUACAAGUUUGAGCCCAUCCUAGGCCAUGUAGCAACCUAACUAGCAAGACUCUGUCUCAAAAUAAUAGAUCAAAAAAGGGUGCCCCCACCUGCCUGCGAGUGUAAGGUCCUGAGUUCGAUCCCCGUACCACAGAAGGGUGGGGGGGAUGAAGCUAAGUGUGAAGAACCUGGGCUUAGAGUGAAAAAAAAAAAAAAAAGACGAGAGACAGAAGGACAGAGAGACCAGAAAGCCAGGUGCCAGACUGGAUGCCGUGUGCCUGUACACGGAGCGACCUCACCAAGGCUGCGUGGCGAUGGCUCGUCGUGCCCUGGCCCCGCCCGCCUGAGGCCCGGACCCCUGCGACUCUCGGGCGGCGACUCCAGCC
Molecule: long non-coding RNA, 422 nt
Filed under: Fukomys damarensis (Damara mole-rat)
Lineage: Eukaryota; Metazoa; Chordata; Mammalia; Rodentia; Bathyergidae
Description: lncRNA (ENSFDAG00000026649.1)
Source: RNAcentral